This 1083-nucleotide ribosomal RNA is filed under the name Escherichia coli. RNAcentral's name for it is "bacterial LSU rRNA". It matches the Rfam family "Bacterial large subunit ribosomal RNA", at positions 165 to 1286 of the family's 2925-position model. The record is from RNAcentral. Lineage: Bacteria; Pseudomonadati; Pseudomonadota; Gammaproteobacteria; Enterobacterales; Enterobacteriaceae.
CAUAGGUUAAUGAGGCGAACCGGGGGAACUGAAACAUCUAAGUACCCCGAGGAAAAGAAAUCAACCGAGAUUCCCCCAGUAGCGGCGAGCGAACGGGGAGCAGCCCAGAGCCUGAAUCAGUGUGUGUGUUAGUGGAAGCGUCUGGAAAGGCGCGCGAUACAGGGUGACAGCCCCGUACACAAAAAUGCACAUACUGUGAGCUCGAUGAGUAGGGCGGGACACGUGGUAUCCUGUCUGAAUAUGGGGGGACCAUCCUCCAAGGCUAAAUACUCCUGACUGACCGAUAGUGAACCAGUACCGUGAGGGAAAGGCGAAAAGAACCCCGGCGAGGGGAGUGAAAAAGAACCUGAAACCGUGUACGUACAAGCAGUGGGAGCACGCUUAGGCGUGUGACUGCGUACCUUUUGUAUAAUGGGUCAGCGACUUAUAUUCUGUAGCAAGGUUAACCGAAUAGGGGAGCCGAAGGGAAACCGAGUCUUAACUGGGCGUUAAGUUGCAGGGUAUAGACCCGAAACCCGGUGAUCUAGCCAUGGGCAGGUUGAAGGUUGGGUAACACUAACUGGAGGACCGAACCGACUAAUGUUGAAAAAUUAGCGGAUGACUUGUGGCUGGGGGUGAAAGGCCAAUCAAACCGGGAGAUAGCUGGUUCUCCCCGAAAGCUAUUUAGGUAGCGCCUCGUGAAUUCAUCUCCGGGGGUAGAGCACUGUUUCGGCAAGGGGGUCAUCCCGACUUACCAACCCGAUGCAAACUGCGAAUACCGGAGAAUGUUAUCACGGGAGACACACGGCGGGUGCUAACGUCCGUCGUGAAGAGGGAAACAACCCAGACCGCCAGCUAAGGUCCCAAAGUCAUGGUUAAGUGGGAAACGAUGUGGGAAGGCCCAGACAGCCAGGAUGUUGGCUUAGAAGCAGCCAUCAUUUAAAGAAAGCGUAAUAGCUCACUGGUCGAGUCGGCCUGCGCGGAAGAUGUAACGGGGCUAAACCAUGCACCGAAGCUGCGGCAGCGACGCUGAUGCGUUGUUGGGUAGGGGAGCGUUCUGUAAGCCUGUGAAGGUGUGCUGUGAGGCAUGCUGGAGGUAUCAGA